CGGGGAAUCCAGAGACAGGUGCUGCAUGGCUGUCGUCAGCUCGUGCCGUGAGGUGUUGGGUUAACGUCCCGCAACGAGCGCCAACCCCUAUUCUCAGUUGCCAGCACAUAAUGGUGGGCACUCUGUGGAGACUGCCACCUAAGUGGAGGAAGGUGGGGAUGACGUCAAGUCAGCAUGGCCCUUACGUCCGGGGCUACACACGUGCUACAAUGGCCGGUACAAAGGGUUGCGAAGCCGUGAGGUGGAGCGAAUCUCAAAAAGCCGGCCUCAGUUCGGAUUGGAGGCUGCAACUCGCCUCCAUGAAGUCGGAAUCGCUAGUAACCGCAGAUCAGCUACGUUGCGGUGAAUACGUUCCCGGGCCUU
RNAcentral lists this ribosomal RNA (363 nucleotides) under uncultured Candidatus Sumerlaeota bacterium. Its description in RNAcentral is "bacterial SSU rRNA". It matches the Rfam family "Bacterial small subunit ribosomal RNA", at positions 1020 to 1382 of the family's 1533-position model. Lineage: Bacteria; Candidatus Sumerlaeota. The record is from RNAcentral.